CGGGACGGAGUAUGCCGGUCGUACGCACGAUUCGGGUUCGUGUAGACCGGGUUCAAUUCCCGGCGUCCCGACCA
Molecule: transfer RNA, 74 nt
Filed under: Candidatus Doudnaibacteriota bacterium
Lineage: Bacteria; Candidatus Doudnaibacteriota
Description: Candidatus Doudnabacteria bacterium tRNA-Pro
Rfam family: tRNA
About the family: Transfer RNA (tRNA) molecules are approximately 80 nucleotides in length. Their secondary structure includes four short double-helical elements and three loops (D, anti-codon, and T loops).
Source: RNAcentral